UAGUCAUAUGCUUGUCCUAAAGAUUAAGCCAUGCAUGUGUACGUUCAAGCCCUUGUACGGUGAAACUGCGGAUGGCUCAUUAUAUCAGUGAUAAUUUGGUUGGUGGAGAAUGCUGUGGAUAACCGUGGUAAUUCUAGAGCUAAUACAUGUGGAGCAGACGCAAGUCUGGCAUUUAUUAGAUAAAGCCUUGGCAAGGGGACAACUCGUUCCCUGCGCAGGUGAGUAAUGAUAACUGGGCGGAUCGCAAACUAUUUGCGACGCACCAAGGAAAUUUCUGCCCUAUCAACUGUGGAUGGUAGGAUAGGGGCCUACCAUGGUGGCGACGGGUGACGGGGAAUCAGGGUUCGAUUCCGGAGAGGGAGCCUGAGAGAUGGCUACCACUUCCAAGGAAGGCAGCAGGCGCGCAAAUUACCCAAUCCCGAGGCGGGGAGGUAGUGACAGGACAUGACGGGGCGGGGCGCACAGCGCUCAGCGACUGGGUUGAGGAAAAGAUAAAGCGAAUGACGAGAAACGAUU
RNAcentral lists this ribosomal RNA (516 nucleotides) under uncultured eukaryote. RNAcentral's name for it is "partial 18S ribosomal RNA". It matches the Rfam family "Eukaryotic small subunit ribosomal RNA", at positions 21 to 549 of the family's 1831-position model. The record is from RNAcentral.